GGAGUCUGGGCCGUGUCUCAGUCCCAAUGUGGCCGUUCAACCUCUCAGUCCGGCUACUGAUCGUCGGCUUGGUGAGCCGUUACCUCACCAACUACCUAAUCAGACGCGAGCCCAUCUUUAAGUGAUAAAUCUUUGAUAUAUCUAAGAUGCCUUAAAUAUAUUUUAUAGGGUAUUACCAUCCGUUUCCAGAAGCUAUCCCCCUCUUAAAGGCAGGUUGCUCACGUGUUACUCACCCGUCCGCCACUAAGAAAAUGAAUAAAUCCAAUUUCUCCGUUCGACUUGCAUGUGUUAAGCGUGCCGCCAGCGUUCGUCCUCGAGCCACUGAUCAAACUACU
This 335-nucleotide ribosomal RNA is filed under the name Ruminococcus flavefaciens. Its description in RNAcentral is "partial 16S ribosomal RNA". Lineage: Bacteria; Bacillati; Bacillota; Clostridia; Eubacteriales; Oscillospiraceae. The record is from RNAcentral.